GACAGAGGGUGCAACCGUUGUUCGGAAUUACUGGGCGUAAAGCGAGUGUAGGCGGUCUGAAAAGUCAGGUGUGAAAGCCCUGGGCUCAACCCAGGAAGUGCACUUGAAACUGCCAGGCUAGAGUAUCGGAGAGGUUGGUGGAAUUCUCGGUGUAGAGGUGAAAUUCGUAGAUAUCGAGAGGAACACCGGUGGCGAAGGCGGCCAACUGGACGAAUACUGACGCUGAGACUCGAGAGCGUGGGGAGCAAACAGG
RNAcentral lists this ribosomal RNA (253 nucleotides) under uncultured bacterium. RNAcentral's name for it is "partial 16S ribosomal RNA". It matches the Rfam family "Bacterial small subunit ribosomal RNA", at positions 524 to 776 of the family's 1533-position model. The record is from RNAcentral.